AUUGCCUCAGUAACGGCGAGUGAAGCGGCAACAGCUCAAAUUUGAAAUCUGGCGGCCUCUGGGCCGUCCGAGUUGUAAUUUGAAGAGGAUGCUUUUGGCGAGGCGCCUUCCGAGUGCCCUGGAACGGGACGCCACAGAGGGUGAGAGCCCCGUAUGGUUGGACGCCGAGCCUCUGUAAAGCUCCUUCGACGAGUCGAGUAGUUUGGGAAUGCUGCUCAAAAUGGGAGGUAAACCCCUUCUAAAGCUAAAUACUGGCCAGAGACCGAUAGCGCACAAGUAGAGUGAUCGAAAGAUGAAAAGCACUUUGAAAAGAGAGUUAAAUAGCACGUGAAAUUGUUGAAAGGGAAGCGCUUGCGACCAGACUUGUGCCCGUCGAAUCAGCCGCCGCUCGCCGGCGGCGCACUUCGGCGGGCUCAGGCCAGCAUCAGUUCGCUGCAGGGGGAGAAAGGCGGCGGGAAUGUGGCUCUUCGGAGUGUUAUAGCCCGCCGCGCAAUACCCCUCGGCGGACUGAGGACCGCGCAUCUGCAAGGAUGCUGGCGUAAUGGUCGUCAGCGACCCGUCUUGAAACACGGACCAAGGAGUCGUCCUAAUAUGCGAGUGUUCGGGUGUAAAACCCCUGCGCGUAAUGAAAGUGAACGGAGGUGAGAGCUUCGGCGCAUCAUCGACCGAUCCUGAUGUUCUCGGAUGGAUUUGAGUAAGAGCAUAUUGGGCCGGACCCGAAAGAAGGUGAACUAUGCCUGUAUAGGGUAAAGCCAGAGGAAACUCUGGUGGAGGCUCGCAGCGGUUCUGACGUGCAAAUCGAUCGUCAAAUAUGGGCAUGGGGGCGAAAGACUAAUCGAACCUU
RNAcentral lists this ribosomal RNA (844 nucleotides) under Scedosporium apiospermum. Its description in RNAcentral is "eukaryotic LSU rRNA". It matches the Rfam family "Eukaryotic large subunit ribosomal RNA", at positions 74 to 943 of the family's 3401-position model. Lineage: Eukaryota; Fungi; Ascomycota; Sordariomycetes; Microascales; Microascaceae. The record is from RNAcentral.